UGGGGAAUUUUGGACAAUGGGCGCAAGCCUGAUCCAGCAAUGCCGCGUGCAGGAUGAAGGCCUUCGGGUUGUAAACUGCUUUUGUACGGAACGAAAAGGCUCUGGCUAAUACCUGGGGCACAUGACGGUACCGUAAGAAUAAGCACCGGCUAACUACGUGCCAGCAGCCGCGGUAAUACGUAGGGUGCGAGCGUUAAUCGGAAUUACUGGGCGUAAAGCGUGCGCAGGCGGUUUUGUAAGACAGAGGUGAAAUCCCCGGGCUCAACCUGGGAACUGCCUUUGUGACUGCAAGGCUGGAGUGCGGCAGAGGGGGAUGGAAUUCCGCGUGUAGCAGUGAAAUGCGUAGAUAUGCGGAGGAACACCGAUGGCGAAGGCAAUCCCCUGGGCCUGCACUGACGCUCACGCACGAAAGCGUGGGGAGCAAACAGGAUUAGAUACCCUGGUAGUCCACGCCCUAAACGAUGUCAACUGGUUGUUGGGUCUUAAUUGACUCAGUAACGAAGCUAACGCGUGAAGUUGACCGCCUGGGGAGUACGGCCGCAAGGUUGAAACUCAAAUGAAUUGACGGGGUCAUAGCUG
This 579-nucleotide ribosomal RNA is filed under the name uncultured bacterium. Its description in RNAcentral is "partial 16S ribosomal RNA". It matches the Rfam family "Bacterial small subunit ribosomal RNA", at positions 355 to 932 of the family's 1533-position model. The record is from RNAcentral.